UACAGAGGUGGCAAGCGUUGUUCGGAAUUACUGGGCGUAAAGGGCGCGUAGGUGGCCUUUUGAGUCAGACGUGAAAUCCCCCGGCUUAACCUGGGAACUGCGUCUGAUACUGGAAGGCUUGAGUUCGGGAGAGGGAUGUGGAAUUCCAGGUGUAGCGGUGAAAUGCGUAGAUAUCUGGAGGAACACCGGUGGCGAAGGCGGCAUCCUGGACCGAAACUGACACUGAGGCGCGAAAGCUAGGGGAGCAAACGGU
RNAcentral lists this ribosomal RNA (253 nucleotides) under uncultured prokaryote. Its description in RNAcentral is "partial 16S ribosomal RNA". It matches the Rfam family "Bacterial small subunit ribosomal RNA", at positions 524 to 776 of the family's 1533-position model. The record is from RNAcentral.